UACGGAGGGUGCAAGCGUUGUCCGGAUUUAUUGGGUUUAAAGGGUGCGUAGGUGGUUGAAUAAGUCUGGUUUGAAAGUCAGUCGCUUAACGAUUGAGGGUGGCUGGAUACUGUUCAACUUGAAUAAUCUGGAGGUAGGCGGAACGGGUUGUGUAGCGGUGAAAUGCAUAGAUAUGACCCAGAACACCGAUUGCGAAGGCAGCCUACUACGGAUUGAUUGACACUGAGGCACGAGAGCAUGGGGAGCAAACAGG
Molecule: ribosomal RNA, 253 nt
Filed under: uncultured bacterium
Lineage: Bacteria
Description: partial 16S ribosomal RNA
Rfam family: Bacterial small subunit ribosomal RNA
Source: RNAcentral